AUGAACGCUGGCGGCGUGCCUAAUACAUGCAAGUCGAGCGAACGGACGAGAAGCUUGCUUCUCUGAUGUUAGCGGCGGACGGGUGAGUAACACGUGGAUAACCUACCUAUAAGACUGGGAUAACUUCGGGAAACCGGAGCUAAUACCGGAUGAUAUUUUGAACCGCAUGGUUCAAAAGUGAAAGACGGUCUUGCUGUCACUUAUAGAUGGAUCCGCGCUGCAUUAGCUAGUUGGUAAGGUAACGGCUUACCAAGGCAACGAUGCAUAGCCGACCUGAGAGGGUGAUCGGCCACACUGGAACUGAGACACGGUCCAGACUCCUACGGGAGGCAGCAGUAGGGAAUCUUCCGCAAUGGGCGAAAGCCUGACGGAGCAACGCCGUGUGAGUGAUGAAGGUCUUCGGAUCGUAAAACUCUGUUAUUAGGGAAGAACAUAUGUGUAAGUAACUGUGCACAUCUUGACGGUACCUAAUCAGAAAGCCACGGCUAACUACGUG
RNAcentral lists this ribosomal RNA (496 nucleotides) under uncultured bacterium. RNAcentral's name for it is "partial 16S ribosomal RNA". It matches the Rfam family "Bacterial small subunit ribosomal RNA", at positions 29 to 507 of the family's 1533-position model. The record is from RNAcentral.